Molecule: non-coding RNA, 120 nt
Filed under: Coprococcus sp. CAG:782
Lineage: Bacteria; Bacillati; Bacillota; Clostridia; Lachnospirales; Lachnospiraceae
Also listed under: 1 other name
Description: SAM riboswitch aptamer (S box leader)
Rfam family: SAM riboswitch aptamer (S box leader)
About the family: The SAM riboswitch is found upstream of a number of genes which code for proteins involved in methionine or cysteine biosynthesis in Gram-positive bacteria. The SAM riboswitch acts at the level of transcription termination control.
Source: Rfam by way of RNAcentral
CUCUUAUUCAGAAUGGUGGAGUCAUAAGGGACUGUGAAGCCAUGGCAACCCCGUCGCUAUUUGUACGGAAGGUGCCUUCCUGAGCGAUCUGCACGGCAAGUGCAUGUCGAACAAUGAGAG